This 652-nucleotide ribosomal RNA is filed under the name Bacillus subtilis. RNAcentral's name for it is "bacterial SSU rRNA". It matches the Rfam family "Bacterial small subunit ribosomal RNA", at positions 65 to 699 of the family's 1533-position model. Lineage: Bacteria; Bacillati; Bacillota; Bacilli; Caryophanales; Bacillaceae. The record is from RNAcentral.
AGCGGACAGAUGGGAGCUUGCUCCCUGAUGUUAGCGGCGGACGGGUGAGUAACACGUGGGUAACCUGCCUGUAAGACUGGGAUAACUCCGGGAAACCGGGGCUAAUACCGGAUGGUUGUUUGAACCGCAUGGUUCAAACAUAAAAGGUGGCUUCGGCUACCACUUACAGAUGGACCCGCGGCGCAUUAGCUAGUUGGUGAGGUAACGGCUCACCAAGGCAACGAUGCGUAGCCGACCUGAGAGGGUGAUCGGCCACACUGGGACUGAGACACGGCCCAGACUCCUACGGGAGGCAGCAGUAGGGAAUCUUCCGCAAUGGACGAAAGUCUGACGGAGCAACGCCGCGUGAGUGAUGAAGGUUUUCGGAUCGUAAAGCUCUGUUGUUAGGGAAGAACAAGUACCGUUCGAAUAGGGCGGUACCUUGACGGUACCUAACCAGAAAGCCACGGCUAACUACGUGCCAGCAGCCGCGGUAAUACGUAGGUGGCAAGCGUUGUCCGGAAUUAUUGGGCGUAAAGGGCUCGCAGGCGGUUUCUUAAGUCUGAUGUGAAAGCCCCCGGCUCAACCGGGGAGGGUCAUUGGAAACUGGGGAACUUGAGUGCAGAAGAGGAGAGUGGAAUUCCACGUGUAGCGGUGAAAUGCGUAGAGAUGU